GGUUCAGGAUGAACGCUAGCUACAGGCUUAACACAUGCAAGUCGAGGGGCAGCAUGGUCUUAGCUUGCUAAGACUGAUGGCGACCGGCGCACGGGUGAGUAACGCGUAUCCAACCUGGCCCUUAGUAGGGAACAGCCCGGCGAAAGUCGGAUUAAUGCCCUAUGUUUUCCAAUGAUGGCAUCUGACUUGGAACAAAGAUUCAUCGCUAAGGGAUGGGGAUGCGUCUGAUUAGCUUGUCGGCGGGUAACGGCCCACCGAGGCGACGAUCAGUAGGGGUUCUGAGAGGAAGGUCCCCCACAUUGGUACUGAGACACGGACCAAACUCCUACGGGAGGCAGCAGUGAGGAAUAUUGGUCAAUGGGCGUAAGCCUGAACCAGCCAAGUAGCGUGCAGGAAAGACUGCCCUAUGGGUUGUAAACUGCUUUUAUGCGGGAAUAAAGUCAGGUACGCGUACCUGUUUGUAUGUACCGCAUGAAUAAGGACCGGCUAAUUCCGUGCCAGCAGCUGC
Molecule: ribosomal RNA, 508 nt
Filed under: uncultured bacterium
Lineage: Bacteria
Description: bacterial SSU rRNA
Rfam family: Bacterial small subunit ribosomal RNA
Source: RNAcentral